This 116-nucleotide non-coding RNA is filed under the name Candidatus Brocadia. RNAcentral's name for it is "c-di-GMP sequence". It matches the Rfam family "c-di-GMP-I-GGC riboswitch aptamer". Lineage: Bacteria; Pseudomonadati; Planctomycetota; Candidatus Brocadiia; Candidatus Brocadiales; Candidatus Brocadiaceae. The record is from RNAcentral. RNAcentral also lists the same sequence under 1 other name.
CACGAUAAAGGUAAACCUUGAGCGAUCAGGGGGCGCAAAGUAAAGGGUCUUUACAAGCCGCUUAAACGGUUUAAACAGUUUAAACCGUUUACUGAAAGACAGCCUUACUGCCGAAG